RNAcentral lists this ribosomal RNA (402 nucleotides) under uncultured bacterium. Its description in RNAcentral is "bacterial SSU rRNA". It matches the Rfam family "Bacterial small subunit ribosomal RNA", at positions 355 to 774 of the family's 1533-position model. The record is from RNAcentral.
UCGGGAAUUUUGGGCAAUGGGCGAAAGCCUGACCCAGCAACGCCGCGUGAGGGAUGAAGUAUUUCGGUAUGUAAACCUCGAAAGAAUGGGAAGAAUAAAUGACGGUACCAUUUAUAAGCUCCGGCUAACUACGUGCCAGCAGCCGCGGUAAUACGUAGGGAGCAAGCGUUGUUCGGAUUUACUGGGCGUAAAGGGCGCGUAGGCGGCGCGGUAAGUCACUUGUAAAAUCUCUGAGCUUAACUCAGAACGGCCAAGUGAUACUGCUGUGCUAGAGUGCGGAAGAGGCAACCGGAAUUCUUGGUGUAGCGGUGAAAUGCGUAGAUAUCAAGAGGAACACCUGAGGCGAAGGCGGGUUGCUGGGCCGACACUGACGCUGAUGCGCGAAAGCCAGGGGAGCAAACG